UGAGUAACACGUAGGUGAUCUACCCCAGAGACGGGGAUAACGGGUGGAAACAUCCGCUAAUACCGGAUAGGCUUGUUCGGUCAAAGGGACAAGGAAAGGCUCCGGCGCUCUGGGAGGAGCCUGCGGCCCAUCAGCUAGUUGGCGGGGUAACGGCCCACCAAGGCAAAGACGGGUAGGGGGUGUGAGAGCAUGGCCCCCCACAAUGGGACUGGAACACGGCCCAUACUCCUACGGGAGGCAGCAGCAGGGAAUAUUGCACAAUGGACGGAAGUCUGAUGCAGCGACGCCGCGUGGAUGAAGAAGGCCCUCGGGUUGUAAAAUCCUUUACAGGGGGAAGAGGAAGGACGGUACCCCUGGAACAAGUGUCGGCUAACUACGUGCCAGCAGCCGCGGUAAGACGUAGGACACAAGCGUUAUCCGGAUUUACUGGGCGUAAAGCGUCUGCAGGCGGACAGGUAAGUUGGGCGUGAAAGCUCCGGGCCCAACCCGGAGAGGUCGUUCAAUACUGCGUGUCUAGAGGGUGUCAGAGGGGAGUGGAAUUUCCGGAGUAGCGGUAAAAUGCGCAGAGAUCGGAAAGAACACCAAUGGCGAAGGCAGCUCCCUGGGGCAACCCUGACGCUAAGAGACGAAAGCUAGGGGAGCGAACAGGAUUAGAGACCCUGGUAGUCCUAGCCCUAAACGAUGGAUGCUGGAUGUGGGGCCAUAGCGCUCCGUGUCGAAGCGAACGCGUUAAGCAUCCCGCCUGGGGACUACGGCCGCAAGGUUAAAACUCAAACGAAUUGACGGGACCCCGCACAAGCAGCGGAGCGUGUGGUUUAAUUCGAUGCUACACGAAGAACCUUACCUGGGUUUGACAUCUAGGUGGUAGUGAAGCGAAAGCGGAGCGACCCUUCGGGGAGCCUAGACAGGUGCUGCAUGGCUGUCGUCAGCUCGUGCCGUGAGGUGUCGGGUUAAGUCCAGUAACGAGCGCAACCCUUGCCCUCCGUUAUACGUGUCAGAGGGGACUGCCGGCGGUAAGCCGGAGGAAGGUGGGGACGACGUCAAGUCAGCAUGGCCUUUAUAUCCAGGG
This 1069-nucleotide ribosomal RNA is filed under the name uncultured organism. Its description in RNAcentral is "bacterial SSU rRNA". It matches the Rfam family "Bacterial small subunit ribosomal RNA", at positions 107 to 1213 of the family's 1533-position model. The record is from RNAcentral.